Molecule: ribosomal RNA, 484 nt
Filed under: uncultured bacterium
Lineage: Bacteria
Description: partial 16S ribosomal RNA
Rfam family: Bacterial small subunit ribosomal RNA
Source: RNAcentral
AUUGAACGCUGGCGGCAGGCCUAACACAUGCAAGUCGAGCGGAUGAAGGGAGCUUGCUCCUGGAUUCAGCGGCGGACGGGUGAGUAAUGCCUAGGAAUCUGCCUGGUAGUGGGGGAUAACGUCCGGAAACGGGCGCUAAUACCGCAUACGUCCUGAGGGAGAAAGUGGGGGAUCUUCGGACCUCACGCUAUCAGAUGAGCCUAGGUCGGGUUAGCUAGUUGGUGGGGUAAAGGCCUACCAAGGCGACGAUCCGUAACUGGUCUGAGAGGAUGAUCAGUCACACUGGAAGUGAGACACGGUCCAGACUCCUACGGGAGGCCGCAGUGGGGAAUAUUGGACAAUGGGCGAAAGCCUGAUACAGCCAUGCCGAGUGUGUGAAGAAGGUCUUCGGAUUGUAAAGCACUUUAAGUUGGGAGGAAGGGCAGUAAGUUAAUACCUUGCUGUUUUGACGUUACCAACAGAAUAAGCACCGGCUAACUUCGUG